UACGUAGGGUGCGAGCGUUGUCCGGAAUUACUGGGCGUAAAGAGCUCGUAGGUGGUUUGUCGCGUUGUUCGUGAAAACUCACAACUCAAUUGUGGGCGUGCGGGCGAUACGGGCAGACUGGAGUACUGCAGGGGAGACUGGAAUUCCUGGUGUAGCGGUGGAAUGCGCAGAUAUCAGGAGGAACACCGGUGGCGAAGGCGGGUCUCUGGGCAGUAACUGACGCUGAGGAGUGAAAGCGUGGGGAGCGAACAGG
Molecule: ribosomal RNA, 253 nt
Filed under: uncultured bacterium
Lineage: Bacteria
Description: partial 16S ribosomal RNA
Rfam family: Bacterial small subunit ribosomal RNA
Source: RNAcentral